GGGUUGUGAGGUUAAGUGACUAAGCGUACACGGUGGAUGCCCUGGCAGUCAGAGGCGAUGAAGGACGUGCUAAUCUGCGAUAAGCGUCGGUAAGGUGAUAUGAACCGUUAUAACCGGCGAUUUCCGAAUGGGGAAACCCAGUGU
This 144-nucleotide ribosomal RNA is filed under the name Escherichia coli. Its description in RNAcentral is "partial 23S ribosomal RNA". It matches the Rfam family "Bacterial large subunit ribosomal RNA", at positions 1 to 134 of the family's 2925-position model. Lineage: Bacteria; Pseudomonadati; Pseudomonadota; Gammaproteobacteria; Enterobacterales; Enterobacteriaceae. The record is from RNAcentral.